AGAGUUUGAUCAUGGCUCAGGGUAAACGCUGGCGGCGUGCCUAAAACAUGCAAGUCGAACGGUGUCCUUCGGGGCACAGUGGCAGACGGCUGAGUAACGCGUGGGUGACGUACCUGUUGGUGGGGAAUAACUGCCCGAAAGGGUGGCUAAUUCCGCAUACGCCUGCUUCUUCGGUGAAGUAGGGAAAGCAGUAAUGCGCCGAUGGAGCGGCCCGCGUUCGAUUAGCUAGUUGGUGGGGUAACGGCCUACCAAGGCGACGAUCGAUAGCUGGUCUCAGAGGAUGAUCAGCCAGACUGGGACUGAGACACGGCCCAGACUCCUACGGGAGGCAGCAGUUAGGAAUUUUGGGCAAUGGGCGCAAGCCUGACCCAGCAACGCCGCGUGGGUGACGAAGGCCUUCGGGUUGUAAAGCCCUUUUCUGGGGGAAGAUGAUGACGGUACCCCAGGAAGAAGCACCGGCUAACUACGUGCCAGCAGCCGCGGUAAUACGUAGGGUGCGAGCGUUGCCCGGAUUUAUUGGGCGUAAAGGGCGCGCAGGCGGUUCGGCACGUCCGUUGUGAAAUCGCUCGGCUCAACUGGGCGGGGUCAGCGGAUACGGUCGAACUUGAGCAAGCUAGGGGGCAAUGGAAUUCCCGGUGUAGUGGUGGAAUGCGUAGAUAUCGGGAGGAACCCAGUGGCGAAGGCGGUUGCCUGGAGCUUUGCUGACGCUGAGGCGCGAAAGCGUGGGGAGCGAUCCGGAUUAGAUACCCUAGUAGUCC
This 758-nucleotide ribosomal RNA is filed under the name uncultured bacterium. RNAcentral describes it as "bacterial SSU rRNA". It matches the Rfam family "Bacterial small subunit ribosomal RNA", at positions 8 to 796 of the family's 1533-position model. The record is from RNAcentral.